Molecule: long non-coding RNA, 1591 nt
Organism: Oreochromis aureus
Lineage: Eukaryota; Metazoa; Chordata; Actinopteri; Cichliformes; Cichlidae
Exons: 4
Source: RefSeq, a predicted model, not a curated record
AGCACAGCUGUGGACAAUUGCGCAUAACAAGACAGGGAGGACACGGAACUGAAAAUACUGACCCAAGACGCAGACCUUAAACGUAACACAGGAAGAACACAGAGAUGCAGAGAGGAGGAGGAGACAGAGAGCAAGGAGGAGCACAUGACAGGUACUUGCAGGUCUGGCAGCUGGUGUAAACAGGGACAAGGAACAGUGACAUUGAAACCACACAGAGGUGAUCGUGCUGCCUGGAUAUGCAGAGCUCCUUCGAAAGUGAGGUACAACUAAACCCCUGAACACCUGGCUCCUCAAGUUAUCCUGUCAGCCUGCCUCCACUCCACUCAGCACAGUCUAAAAGCUGUGGGGGUGUUAGGACCGUCUGUACCCACAUCGUCCCAGGUGCCAUUCUUGUGGAACGAUGCUGCCCAGAAUGCUUUCACCACUCUUAAGGACCAGUUGCCACUGUACCAGCCUGACACUACCCAACAGUUUGUCGUGGAGGUGGACGCUUCAAAUUCCAGGAUUGGGGCCCUUCCAUCCCUGGUCACAUAUCUCCUUGGACUUCAUCACUGGCCUCCCACAGUCUGCAGAUAAUACCGUCAUUCUAACCAUUGUUGACCACUUCUCCAAAGCAGCUCAAUUCAUGGCUCUUCCCAAGCUUCUGUCUGCCUUGGAGACAGACCAACUCCUCACUAACCAAGUGUUUCAUGAGAGAUGAACUAAGAGCUGUAAACCGCCCUCUGAUGUGUGGUAUCAUCCAACCCUUCCACCUGAGCACCUCACCAGCUAGUGGUCUCUCACCUUUUGAAUUAUCCUUGGGAUGUCAGCCAUGCACUAAAGAGCAGAACAAGCACCUCACUGCAGACUCUCUCCAAGCUUUAUUGCACCCUUUGAAAUCGACUCCCUUAUCAACCCGGUUUCUGUUCGUCUAAGACUGCUGUGGAAUAUUCGCAUCCAUAAUAUCUUCCAUGUCUCCCACCUCGAACCCUCCAUCUCUAGCCCAUUGUUCCUGCCAGCCUGAGUGUUGUCUAACCGCAGCAGUCUUCACCUCGCCUCUCUGUAAGUCUGUUUCUGUUAACUCCAUGAAGGUUUCUAAUGUGUCUCAUCCUAGGACAGCCCAGCGGUGUUCCGAGAGAUUCUGUUCGGGAGACUCGGGGAGGAUCAGGGACUUGGAUUCACUGAACCUCCCUUCCUCUUCAUAUUUCCUCCAUAGUAUAGCUUCAUCUCCCAUUGUGAAAUUCAGCUACUCUACAGUCGCGACACUCCAUAAUUGUGACUGGUCGUUGUUAAUGAGAUUAAUUACAGGUUCACUAGAAGGACAAGAAGGCAAAGCUGUGUCUCCCAGUAAUCUUGAGAGGAUUACACUAGCUGUCUCUAUUUUCCCCAGGUAUUCCCCACAGUCUCCCUUUGUAGUUUGUCAGGUUGUUGGUUUGUCCCUUUCUCAUAUGUGUUUUGCUUCUUGGUCUUAUGCCCUUUUGACCUCAAUGUUAUUUAUUUAUUUAUUUUUGUCAGUUUUUGUGUUAAUAUUUCUGUAUGUACUGUAGAAAACCCCCAAAUCUUUGCCUCUUUGCACCAAGAAACGUUAAUGAUAGGUUGCUGGAAUAUUUGU